This 1388-nucleotide ribosomal RNA is filed under the name Escherichia coli. Its description in RNAcentral is "partial 23S ribosomal RNA". It matches the Rfam family "Bacterial large subunit ribosomal RNA", at positions 1 to 1430 of the family's 2925-position model. The record is from RNAcentral. Lineage: Bacteria; Pseudomonadati; Pseudomonadota; Gammaproteobacteria; Enterobacterales; Enterobacteriaceae.
UUAAGCGACUAAGCGUACACGGUGGAUGCCCUGGCAGUCAGAGGCGAUGAAGGACGUGCUAAUCUGCGAUAAGCGUCGGUAAGGUGAUAUGAACCGUUAUAACCGGCGAUUUCCGAAUGGGGAAACCCAGUGUGUUUCGACACACUAUCAUUAACUGAAUCCAUAGGUUAAUGAGGCGAACCGGGGGAACUGAAACAUCUAAGUACCCCGAGGAAAAGAAAUCAACCGAGAUUCCCCCAGUAGCGGCGAGCGAACGGGGAGGAGCCCAGAGCCUGAAUCAGUGUGUGUGUUAGUGGAAGCGUCUGGAAAGGCGCGCGAUACAGGGUGACAGCCCCGUACACAAAAAUGCACAUGCUGUGAGCUCGAUGAGUAGGGCGGGACACGUGGUAUCCUGUCUGAAUAUGGGGGGACCAUCCUCCAAGGCUAAAUACUCCUGACUGACCGAUAGUGAACCAGUACCGUGAGGGAAAGGCGAAAAGAACCCCGGCGAGGGGAGUGAAAAAGAACCUGAAACCGUGUACGUACAAGCAGUGGGAGCCUCUUUUAUGGGGUGACUGCGUACCUUUUGUAUAAUGGGUCAGCGACUUAUAUUCUGUAGCAAGGUUAACCGAAUAGGGGAGCCGAAGGGAAACCGAGUCUUAACUGGGCGUUAAGUUGCAGGGUAUAGACCCGAAACCCGGUGAUCUAGCCAUGGGCAGGUUGAAGGUUGGGUAACACUAACUGGAGGACCGAACCGACUAAUGUUGAAAAAUUAGCGGAUGACUUGUGGCUGGGGGUGAAAGGCCAAUCAAACCGGGAGAUAGCUGGUUCUCCCCGAAAGCUAUUUAGGUAGCGCCUCGUGAAUUCAUCUCCGGGGGUAGAGCACUGUUUCGGCAAGGGGGUCAUCCCGACUUACCAACCCGAUGCAAACUGCGAAUACCGGAGAAUGUUAUCACGGGAGACACACGGCGGGUGCUAACGUCCGUCGUGAAGAGGGAAACAACCCAGACCGCCAGCUAAGGUCCCAAAGUCAUGGUUAAGUGGGAAACGAUGUGGGAAGGCCCAGACAGCCAGGAUGUUGGCUUAGAAGCAGCCAUCAUUUAAAGAAAGCGUAAUAGCUCACUGGUCGAGUCGGCCUGCGCGGAAGAUGUAACGGGGCUAAACCAUGCACCGAAGCUGCGGCAGCGACGCUUAUGCGUUGUUGGGUAGGGGAGCGUUCUGUAAGCCUGUGAAGGUGUACUGUGAGGUAUGCUGGAGGUAUCAGAAGUGCGAAUGCUGACAUAAGUAACGAUAAAGCGGGUGAAAAGCCCGCUCGCCGGAAGACCAAGGGUUCCUGUCCAACGUUAAUCGGGGCAGGGUGAGUCGACCCCUAAGGCGAGGCCGAAAGGCGUAGUCGAUGGGAAACAGGU